This 460-nucleotide ribosomal RNA is filed under the name uncultured bacterium. RNAcentral's name for it is "partial 16S ribosomal RNA". It matches the Rfam family "Bacterial small subunit ribosomal RNA", at positions 338 to 795 of the family's 1533-position model. The record is from RNAcentral.
CCUACGGGUGGCAGCAGUGAGGAAUAUUGGUCAAUGGACGAGAGUCUGAACCAGCCAAGUAGCGUGAAGGAUGACUGCCCUAUGGGUUGUAAACUUCUUCUAUAAAGGAAUACAACGAGGCACGUGUGCCUUUUUGCAUGUACUUUAUGAAUAAGGAUCGGCUAACUCCGUGCCAGCCGCCGCGGUAAUACGGAGGAUCCGAGCGUUACCCGGAUUUAUUGGGUUUAAAGGGAGCGUAGAUGGGUUGGUAAGUCAGUUGUGAAAUUUAGAGGCUGAACCGUAAAAUUGCAAUUGAUACUGGGAGUCUUGAGUGCAGUAGAGGUAGGCGGAAUUCGUGGUGUAGCGGUGAAAUGCUUAGAUAUCACGAGGAACCCCGGUUGCGAAGGCAGCUUACUAAACUGUGACUGACAUUGAUGCUCGAAAGUGUGGGUAUCAAACAGGAUUAGAUACCCGUGUAGUC